This 4339-nucleotide long non-coding RNA is filed under the name Brassica napus (rape). RNAcentral's name for it is "long non-coding RNA (BNAP_LNC020106)". The record is from RNAcentral. Lineage: Eukaryota; Viridiplantae; Streptophyta; Magnoliopsida; Brassicales; Brassicaceae.
CCAACCUCACUUUCUCGUCUUCCCAAUACCCCAAUGUAUGCUUCAUCCAUUCUCCAUCCUCCCUUUUCUGCACCCACAUUCAUUAUUAUAUCAUCAUCAUCUUCUUUACAGUAUAUACUAAUGUAUGAGGAAAAGAAGGGGAAUCAAACCGUGAAAUCUUCCCGAGCAUGUGCUCCUCUGCUUUCCUUUCGUGCUUCCGCUGAAUGCAUUGUUAUUGAAGCGUUUAUCAAUAGGUUCUCCAGUUCUAUUGUCUCUAUCAGAUCAGAGUUCCUGCAUUCAUCAGAUAAGUUAGUCACAACUAACAAGGAGCUUUUUGUAACAUUGAUAAUUUAAUAAUCUCGACCCCAUGUGUAAAGUAUCGUUUUACCAUAUCAAACUCCGAUCUUUAACCUGGACAUCCUCGAAACUUUCCCAUGCCUUGUCGAUCAACUGACAACCUGCAAUAAAUUAUUCCAGGUUAAGAUAAAACUGGCGGCUUUUGCAGAUGGGAGAGAGCUCUUUAAUCCAGGACUAACUAAUAAGAUUAAUGUUUGUUACCUUCUUCCAAUGUUUCUUGCGUGCGGAAGACAGCUGCGUUGUUCUGCAUAAUCCUCUGCAUGUUCAAUCUGAUACUUGAUGUAGGAAGCGACCCGCUUGAGUGUCUCAACUUGUUCAGCCAUUCUAUCGUCUUCUUGCCUGCAUUUUCCUCCAGAGGCCUCUGUUUCUCCCCUGCACCCAUCGAGGAAUAAGGCAAAUAAAAAAACAUCAGAUUAGGCUCUUCUUUAUGUACUUAUAAUACAGUCUCGAGAGAUUCUAGAAAAAUUGACUAACCUGGUUUGCUUAUCUCUGCUACCCUAUUCGCACAAGCACGGCCAAACACAACAAUGUCGAGGAGAGAAUUUGCACCAAGCCUGUUGGCACCGUGAACAGAUGCACAAGCUGCCUCCCCAGCAGCCAUAAGCCCUGGAACCACUGCAUCUGGAUCAUCUCCUUUGAUGGUCACUACCUGCACGACAAAAAAAAUAAAAAUUACUCCUGAUCUCUACUGCAUCUCAUAUUUCACUCUACACAAAUUUCAGUAAAAUUGCUUCAAAAGUUCAACGACUUCUGCUAUUCUUACCUCGCCGUGGUAAUUUGUUGGGAUACCACCCAUGUUAUAGUGCACAGUAGGCAAGACUGGAAUUGGCUCUUUGGUAACAUCAACACCAGCGAAGAUUGCAGCCGUCUCAGAUAUUCCAGGAAGCCUUUCUUUUAGAACUUCUGGUGGGAGAUGGUUCAAAUGGAGAUAGAUAUGAUCCUUAUGCGGUCCUGGCCAUUUUAGCAACGGUUAAUCCAAAACGAGUAUUAAGACUACAGAGUAUCACGAAAUCAAUUAUGGUCCUCAAAGACUCAUAAUGAGAGUUAGCUGAGAAAGUUGAAUCUAGCAUACCUACACCACGACCUUCCCUGAUUUCCAUAGUCAUAGAUCUAGAGACAACAUCUCUUGAUGCAAGAUCCUUGGCUGUAGGAGCAUAUCGUUCCAUAAAACGUUCUCCUUCACUGUUUCUAAGGAUACCACCUUCACCUCGGGAUCCUGCAAUUGUUUAGUAGAGAAACACCAAAAAUAACCAUGUCAACCACAUUAUAUCUCUAUCGUGUAAGUAAAUGGACUAUGUGAGGACAAGAUGCUAACCUUCAGUGAUGAGACAUCCGGCUCCGUAAAUACCAGUUGGAUGGAACUGAACAAACUCCAAGUCCUGCAUAUGACGUAAUCAGACAAUAAUAUUAUUAGCAUACAGAUACGUUUUGCACCAUUUAUCUCAAAACUAAAUAGGUAGCAUACCUGGAGUGGAAGACCAGCACGUGCAACCAUGGCAUUGCCAUCUCCUGUGCAUGUAUGUGCUGAGGUUGCAGAGAAGUAUGCUCUGCCGUAACCCUGGAAAAAAAAAGAGGCAUCAUGUGAGUAAACUUGCACAAUUGGAAAAAUUCGUAACAUGAAAACUACUCAAAACUAGCUCACCCCAGUGGCCAAGAUUGUUUGUGCAGAGCGGAAACGGUGCAAUGUUCCAUCUUCCAUGUUUAGUGCAAUUACACCCUGGCAAGUGCCUGCAGAUCGGAUAACAAUGUUGCAUCAAUACUAACGGAAGCAAGAGAAAAAGGAAAAUAACUCCCAAACACUUACCAUCACUCGCCAUGAGCAGAUCCAGAGCGAAGUAUUCAACAAAGAACUGUGUGUUAUGCUUCAUAGCUUGUCCAUAUAAGGUAUGCAAGAGAGCAUGCCCAGUCCGAUCCGCAGCACAAGCACAACGAUAGGCCUGACCACCUGACGGUAGAAUAAAAAGAAAGCCAACAUGAGAAAAUCUACUAAAACAAUCAAAGUUCCCAAAACAAAGCCAGCAAGAGCACAUAUGAAAAAAUCAAAUGAAAUGAUCAAAAAGGUAGCAAGACGUUAGACAAAGUCACCUUUGCCAAAGUCAAGACUCUGACCACCAAAUGCACGCUGGUAAAUUUUACCCUCUUCAGUACGAGAAAAGGGCAGGCCGUAAUUCUCAAGUUCAAUCACUGCUUUUGGUGCCUCUCUACACAUAUACUGAAUGGCAUCUUGAUCACCUACACAAAGAAAAUCAAAAAACUGUUAAAUGCAGGCACAGCAACUGAACCACAUACUAGCAAGAGCAAUAAGCUAAUACAAAAGAAAAAGAAGAGUUGCAAGAUUACCAAGCCAGUCACUUCCUUUGACAGUAUCAUACAUGUGCCAUCUCCAGUCAUCUUCAGACAUGUUUCCCAGUGCAGCAUUAAUACCACCCUUCACAGUUUCCCCACAUCACAUUAAAGCUCAUCAAAUCUCAAAGAAACCAAAACUCCAUUACUAAUCAGAAGGGUAAAACGAAAUUAACCUGAGCAGCGACGGUGUGUGAGCGUGUGGGGAAGAGCUUGGUGAUGCAAGCCGUGUUAAAUCCAUGCUCAGAUAAUCCAAUGGCCGCCCUUAGCCCAGCACCACCAGCUCCCACAACCACCGCGUCAUAGGUGUGAUCCACUAUCGUGUAAUCACCUGUCUGCUGCAUGAUCAACAACAUGGAUACGAAGAAUAAGCAAAAAAAGCAAUUCUAACAAUACGCAAUCCCGAUCAAAUUCAAUACUAAAACUCAACGGACUCCGUGUUCCCUAUCAUAAGCUUCUGUUACUCGAGAUUCCACGCGUAUUUACAUAGGAUCGAAACGAUAAAACUAAGAAUCGGAGGAGAGAUCUUACGGAACCGGUGGAGAGGAAUCUAGAAAAGCGAGAUCCAGAGAGUGAGGUCCUUGAGGAAGGAGCACGAAGGCUACGAGAGACGCAGCGCCACAUCUUCUUCUUUUUGAAUCCACAAGCCGAUCAGAUUCUAUGCAAAAUGAAGAUGGUAGACGAAAUCGUUUCUUUUUUUGUUUACCUGAGAACUCGCGAGCGGAGUGAGAGAGAGCCACCGAGGUGAGGUGCUGCUUUUUAAAGAAAAAAUGGAAAACGAUGACUUCUUUAAAUUCCGUUUAUACCCUUACUCUCUCACGAUAACUACGCCUAAACCGGUUUGCUUUGGGAACUAAACCAACCCCCAAGGUUAGGCCCUCUCCCUCCUAUUGGUCAAUUGAUAACAUGUUUGGUGCCAAUUUUUUCUUUCUCGCCGUCUCAUUUUUUAGAUCCAACGAUGAAGGGGGUAACUCGAUCAAAAUGAUAGAAUAUUCAAAAUUAUCAAAUAAUUUUGAAAUAAUAAUGGCCCAUGUUUUUAUUAUCUACCAGUAACAUACUUAUCAUUUUAUUCCAUGCUUCCAUAAGUACUUUUUUUUUCUAUUUUUAUAUUAGAUUUAGCUUCAUAGUAUUCGAAAACGUAGAGAAGGAUACUAGUCACUCGUGGACGGUUCUAAUCCAGAAGUUGGAAACCUUUUGUGAGGAAACGAUUACGUUAGAAUAAAAAUAAUGAUUAGUUUAAAUACCAAUUCCGUUGUCGUCCAAGAGUGUCCAUGUGAACAGGCCUAUACUCCAACCUCACUUUCUCGUCUUCCCAAUACCCCAAUGUAUGCUUCAUCCAUUCUCCAUCCUCUCUUUUCUGCACCCACAUUCAUUAUUAUAUCAUCAUCAUCUUCUUUACAGUAUAUACUAAUGUAUGAGGAAAAGAAGGGGAAUCAAACCGUGAAAUCUUCCCGAGCAUGUGCUCCUCUGCUUUCCUUUCGUGCUUCCGCUGAAUGCAUUGUUAUUGAAGCGUUUAUCAAUAGGUUCUCCAGUUCUAUUGUCUCUAUCAGAUCAGAGUUCCUGCAUUCAUCAGAUAAGUUAGUCACAACUAACAAGGAGCUUUUUGUAACAUUGAUAAUUUAAUAAUCUCGACCCCAUGUGUAAAGUAUCGUUUUACCAU